AACUUCUUUCAACAAAAUGUGAAACUUUAUGCAAUGAAGCAUGUGCUUCAUUAGUUUGCUGCCGCUUCAAAAAAGCUUUCCCCAUCUGAAACAACAUUAACACUGUCAGUGAGUAUAAAAUCCUAAUAAAUUCGGAGACCAAAUCCAACAGUACUAAAUAUUAAAUGUGAAUAAAAUCAAAGUAAAAACUUAUGGUUUCAGAGUUUUCCAUUAAAAACCAUGAACUUAAGCAUUUACUAAACAAUGAAAAAGAUAAAAUUCAUGUUUGUUGACAAACAUAUGAAUUUGUAGUAAAAGAUGAAGCUCUAUCAUAUUGUUAAUAAAAGAGCCUAGAUAGAAUCAAAGGUACAUGCAACUAAACAAAAUAUUAUGAUGAGGAGAGAAAAACAGGACAUUGUAUUAAAGGGAUUAUGAUCUAAGCGGCCAAAAUUUCGUUGAAAAUUAAUGUAGCUUUGUGUGAUUUGCUGGUUAAUGCAAUAGCAAACCAAAACGCUUGCAUAGCUACAGCUUAGUUAAUAUCCCUGUGUUCUUUUUGUUUGGUCUUAUGCAGGUAUUACUUAUGUUCGGAUCUUAUAAGUUCUAGUUUCCCUUUGUUAAUAAACAGAAACACAUGAGAAGCUCCCAACUAAUAAUCAUCAUCAGAUUAGCCACAAAAGAUUGGAAAUAUAAUUUGAUAAUGCAUAUGAACUAAAGGAAUGUAGAACAGUCGAAAUUAGGAAAGAAAAAAAACUGUCAAAAGAGAAAAGCAAAGGAAAUUAACAAAAAAACUAUUCUACAGAACAUUAGACUAAACAUCAAAUUAAAGGAAAAGAAAAGGCCACUAAAUGCCCAUUCAGUUGAAUUUGAGUAAUAUGAAGCGAUAAAUAACCAAUUAAAGAGAUAUGAACUACUUACCAUUCCAAGUUAAAAACAUCAUGGCAAGAGCUGCUACUGUACACAAUCCUGCACCUGAUAAUGAUGCUUCUGUCAAAUCUCUUGCAAUUUUUCUGCACAUAGGGCAAGCUGUAGUAUAUAUAUUUUUUAAAGUAUCAGGGAGAAGUCAAAUUUUACAGAAGAAAGUUUAUCCCAGGUUUAUUUAUAUAUCUACUUUUUUCUUCUGUUUUCAAAUAGACACACCAAACCUCAGAUCACUAUGUAGAUACCUCAAAAAAAGAAUCAGAACAGUCCCUCUGCCAUUGAUUCUACCAAAGCGGUCUCUGAAGACUCGUCACACUUGUUGUAUCUUGCAAUAAUUUGUUUCAUACUGUAAAAAGUUGGAACAGACGUAUAAAAUGACUGAAAAAAUUGUUUAGCUUCUUGGUUUUAUAAUGUAUAAAUUCGCAAACAGAGAGCUGCUUUGUGUAUCAGAAUGAAGAAAUUGACAAUAAAUGUAUAACUAAGUGAUAGAAAAUGUAAAGACCAAAAUAUAAUUACAGGUAUAAGGGGUAUAGAAAUGAGGGGUAUGUAGCUGGCCUCCAUCACAUUAACCAUUCAGGAUGCUCAGUUCACUAAUACUAUUGUUUCUGACUGUCAUCAAAGCUUGUCAUUCUCCAAUAUUAGUCACUUGAUAUAGUGUCUGAUUUUUUUUUUUUU
Molecule: long non-coding RNA, 1572 nt
Organism: Rosa rugosa (rugosa rose)
Lineage: Eukaryota; Viridiplantae; Streptophyta; Magnoliopsida; Rosales; Rosaceae
Exons: 2
Source: RefSeq, a predicted model, not a curated record